GCGGACGGGGUGCGGGUCACGUGGCUUGCGCCUGCGCAUCGCGCCGGUCACCUUACGCACUACACACUGUAUAUCCGGGAGCUCGGCAAGGUUGGCGGCGAGUGGUCACAGCGUGUGGAGGCAGCGCCGCCGGACGGCGACGACGAGGCGUGGCGUGAGGUGCGCGGCCUGCGCGAGGGCAUUGUGUACGAGUUCUGGGUGCGAGCCGCGACAGCCGCCGGUGCAGGACCCCCCUCGCGCCCCGUCACUGCCGCCCCCGCACCCGCGUUGUCAGCGCGCAUCUCAUCGUUCGCGCGCGUGGUGUGGGCGGCGUGGGGAGCGCGGGCGCGUCUGCGGUGUGCAGCAGUAGGCGCGCCGCCGUUGCGCUGGCGUUGGUCGCCGCUGCCGCGCGCACAUACACUCACCGACACUGGCGACCUCAUUAUACAUAAGGUGGAGGCGUCAUCGGCGGGCAACUACACAUGCUCGGUGCGCAACGGCGCAGGCGCGGAUGCGGCGCUGCUGGCACUGCUCGUUCGUCGCGCCCCCGCCGCGCCUGCGCCACGCCUCGCACGCGCCGAGCCGCACGCACUGCUACUGGCGUGGGAUCCACCGCCCGACACCGGCGCGC
Manduca sexta (tobacco hornworm) is the source of this 610-nucleotide long non-coding RNA. RefSeq lists it as uncharacterized. NCBI's taxonomy places the organism in Eukaryota, Metazoa, Arthropoda, Insecta, Lepidoptera, Sphingidae. The transcript has 4 exons. The record is from RefSeq and is a predicted model, not a curated record.